This is a non-coding RNA of Zopfochytrium polystomum, 71 nucleotides long. The record is from the annotation of a GenBank genome assembly. NCBI's taxonomy places the organism in Eukaryota, Fungi, Chytridiomycota, Chytridiomycetes, Chytridiales, Chytridiaceae.
GGGCGUGUGGCAAAAUGGUUACCGCUUGACUACGAAUCAAGAGAUUCCAGGUUUGACCCCUGGCACGCUCG